CCUCCAGAAGGCUUGGACACGGUUCGCCAACAAGUCUCCGGGUUUACGGAAUAAAGAGCUUCGAAUAAAACCUGUACGGUGCUUGAGGCAAGAGGACGGGAAUAAUUUAUGCGGGUUCUACGUUUGCGAGUUCAUUCGCCAGAAUACCCACCAUAUGACCAAAAUUUUGGAACAACUUGAUAUCCAACGGUUGCGGGACGGUCUUCUAGCAACCGAGCGUGUACGGGCAAUUCAAGAAGAACUGGAGGGAUUCUUACUUGAGCAAGUCAUAGCUCCAGA
Lolium perenne is the source of this 279-nucleotide long non-coding RNA. RefSeq lists it as uncharacterized. NCBI's taxonomy places the organism in Eukaryota, Viridiplantae, Streptophyta, Magnoliopsida, Poales, Poaceae. The record is from RefSeq and is a predicted model, not a curated record.